Molecule: ribosomal RNA, 785 nt
Filed under: Lacticaseibacillus zeae
Lineage: Bacteria; Bacillati; Bacillota; Bacilli; Lactobacillales; Lactobacillaceae
Description: bacterial SSU rRNA
Rfam family: Bacterial small subunit ribosomal RNA
Source: RNAcentral
GAUGAACGCUGGCGGCGUGCCUAAUACAUGCAAGUCGAACGAGUUCUGAUUAUUGAAAGGUGCUUGCAUCUUGAUUUAAUUUUGAACGAGUGGCGGACGGGUGAGUAACACGUGGGUAACCUGCCCUUAAGUGGGGGAUAACAUUUGGAAACAGAUGCUAAUACCGCAUAAAUCCAAGAACCGCAUGGUUCUUGGCUGAAAGAUGGCGUAAGCUAUCGCUUUUGGAUGGACCCGCGGCGUAUUAGCUAGUUGGUGAGGUAACGGCUCACCAAGGCAAUGAUACGUAGCCGAACUGAGAGGUUGAUCGGCCACAUUGGGACUGAGACACGGCCCAAACUCCUACGGGAGGCAGCAGUAGGGAAUCUUCCACAAUGGACGCAAGUCUGAUGGAGCAACGCCGCGUGAGUGAAGAAGGCUUUCGGGUCGUAAAACUCUGUUGUUGGAGAAGAAUGGUCGGCAGAGUAACUGUUGUCGGCGUGACGGUAUCCAACCAGAAAGCCACGGCUAACUACGUGCCAGCAGCCGCGGUAAUACGUAGGUGGCAAGCGUUAUCCGGAUUUAUUGGGCGUAAAGCGAGCGCAGGCGGUUUUUUAAGUCUGAUGUGAAAGCCCUCGGCUUAACCGAGGAAGUGCAUCGGAAACUGGGAAACUUGAGUGCAGAAGAGGACAGUGGAACUCCAUGUGUAGCGGUGAAAUGCGUAGAUAUAUGGAAGAACACCAGUGGCGAAGGCGGCUGUCUGGCCUGUAACUGACGCUGAGGCUCGAAAGCAUGGGGUAGCGAACAGG